UCGUAACAAGGUUUCCGUAGGUGAACCUGCGGAAGGAUCAUUACAAAUCUCGAGUUGGUCCCCUAGUGGGGCUGACACAUUAGCACAAGGCCGCAAGGUCUUGAUGUCUACGCUUGUAUGUUUGACAGAGUUUAAAUUGUGACCUUAAAAAUGACAACUUUUAACAACGGAUCUCUUGGCUCUUGCAACGAUGAAGAACGCAGUAAAGUGCGAUAUGUAGUGCGAUUUGCAUGAAUCUGUGAGUCAUCUAAUCUUUGAACGCAACUUGCGCCUCUCUGAGGCAUGUCUGUUUGAGUGCCGCAUACUCUAUGCAGCAAUGCGAUUUGAUCCAUGUCGACACUAGACUGGGUCUAAAUGUAGCCAGAUAAUGGUCUGUGAGACUAGCCCGAGUGCUAAGCAUUCUUGGUCCUAGGCUCCACUUGCCACAAUCUAUCUAUCUAUUUGGCCUCAAAUCAGGCAAGACUACCCGCUGAACUUAAGCAUAUCAGUAAGCGGAGGAAAAGAAACUAACAAGGAUUCCCCUAGUAACGGCGAGUGAAGCGGGAAAAGCUCAAAGUUAAAAUCUCGGCGCUCCGCGUCGCGAAUUGUAGUCUAAAGAGGGUGAUCUUUAGGACGGAGAGGGUGUCCAAGUCCCUUGGAAUAGGGCGCCAGAGAGGGUGAGAGCCCCGUCAUGGCAUCCGAUCCGUCUCAAGUGAGAGCCUCUCAACGAGUCGAGUUGUUUGGGAAUGCAGCUCAAAGUGGGUGGUAAAUCUCAUCUAAGGCUAAAUACUGGCAAGAGACCGAUAGCGAACAAGUACCGUGAGGGAAAGAUGAGAAGCACCUUGAAAAGGGAGUUAAACGGUGCGUGAAAUUGUUAAAAGGGAAACGAUAGAGACCAGUGUUGACGUGCGCUUCAAGCCGGUGCCUUGGUGCCGGUAGCGAGCGUGCGUCGAGUCAAUGCCAGUUGCAGCAGCCGGAUACGACAGACAGGAAGAUGGUGUCGUCCUUCGGGGCGGCUCUUUAUAGACUGGCUGGACUACGGCCGCCGCGACCGGAAGCCUGAUGACGCUAGGGGACUGGUGGGGAACGGCGAGCGGACAACUUGUUGACCGUGCGCCCUCACUCUCCACGAACCAAAGCCCAGUUGGGUGCCUUUGACGAAAUGGUCUUUAACGACC
This 1157-nucleotide ribosomal RNA is filed under the name uncultured fungus. RNAcentral describes it as "eukaryotic LSU rRNA". The stretch from base 443 to 1157 matches the Rfam family "Eukaryotic large subunit ribosomal RNA", at positions 1 to 649 of the family's 3401-position model. The record is from RNAcentral. Lineage: Eukaryota; Fungi.